AUUUAAAUAGUUUAAGCUAAAAUUUCGAUUUGUGGAGUCGAAGAUAUAUUAUAUAUUUUAAAUU
This 64-nucleotide transfer RNA is filed under the name Coleoptera sp. 11 KM-2017. Its description in RNAcentral is "tRNA-His". The record is from RNAcentral. Lineage: Eukaryota; Metazoa; Arthropoda; Insecta; Coleoptera.